Molecule: long non-coding RNA, 2357 nt
Organism: Megalobrama amblycephala (Wuchang bream)
Lineage: Eukaryota; Metazoa; Chordata; Actinopteri; Cypriniformes; Xenocyprididae
Exons: 3
Source: RefSeq, a predicted model, not a curated record
GCUUAUUGGUAAAGUCUUUGCUUCACUGCAGCUGCCGUUAGAAGCUUCAGUUCCCAUAGAAACCUGAGACUCCAGCUUACCGUGCGUUCACACCGCCGCCGGUGAAAGCGUCAAAGUGACAGGAAGUCAUUCAUUUUCAAUGUGAGCCAGCGGCGAGCUCCGGCGAGAGCGGCGCGGCGCGUCUUGGACGGUGAGAGCGUCGAGGAGAGUUGAAGUCAGGUCAACUUUAUGGUAAUGAGCUACGACGCAGUUCAGCGGCAACCAAUCGGAAUGUAGAGGUCCUCGCUUGAGAGGAUUCCGAUUGGUUGCCACAACUUUUCAUUUACUUUGACGCUCUCACCGGCGGCAGUGUGAACGCACAGUUAGGACUGCACAUGCAAAUUGGCUUGUCUAGCCUGAAAAAUCUAUUUUUUAACACUAUUUGAGCAUAAGAAACAACAUAUAUGGGACAGUUCAUGUCAGAUUUUGUUGCUGAUUUGAAAUAUGUUAUUUAAUUGUGAGUUCGCCAAGCAGUUUUUGAAGAUUUCAGGAUUACCCCGUUCAAAUAGAUAGGACUUGGUCUUGAAUGCCCGAAAUAGCUGCCCGGAGGCAUUGCAAAUAUGGCCGCCGAGCGACAUGAAAGGGACUUUCCUUGAAAGGGAAUUUGAUAUUAAUUUCCAACGCGCGUUUACCAGAGCAUGACGGGUGUUGCGUUGACGCAAGAGCAGAUGCUGUUAAAGUGGAAGGUGAUGUGAUCUCUCCGGUGUGUCACGGUCCGCUGUGCCCUGGAGAAGGUCUGAGGGGGCCGGAACGGGAGGGCUGUCACCGGAUGACAUGGCAGAUGAAGCCCUGUUUGGAAGUGCAGGUGUGAGGCCGGUGCUUUGAUGGAGACCUCACAGACACCAGCUCCUCGCACGCUGAAUACAGAACAGCCUGAUCUCUCUCCACAACCUCUUACGCAGGACUCCCGCACACCCCCGUUUUCAGUGGAUAUGUUCAGCCAGUACGAUAUACUGCUUACUACAUGCUAAUGGAUAGUUUUGAUCCUUGAUGCUGGUCAAUACAGUAUUCCAGCUUUGUCUCUAGGCUUUUGUGAGGAUAUGCAGACAGGCCCUAAAAGAGAUGUACUAUUACACUCCGACCGGCCUGUCCGGACUCAUAAAAGAGCUGCUCUUUGCUUUCAACACGAGAGCUGUUUCCUCUCGGCCUGUGAGCUUCCUCGCCACCCAAUUUGCAAGAGACGAUUCACAAAACUUUAAAGUGUUCGGCUUGUCAGAUUUCUACCCAGCAAGCAAAGAGAGGCUUUUAUGGACCUAAUUAAUGUCUCCGUGUACAAGAUUUAUAUCUGAGAAAAGCACACCAUGCUCGCGAUAUUACCGUUAGUUUGUAAAAACACAAACAAAUACACACGCAAACAAAACCACACACAUAAUCGGCACCGAGGCGGUGUAAAACAGGAAGUGCUAUAGGUCCAGAGCAGGUGAGAUGAAAGAGAUGUCUGUGUGGCGUUUUAUCAGCGCAUGAGAAAGAUGGGGAGGAUUUGUCUCUGUUAAAGGGAUACACUGCUCCUUUAUUAAAGCCAUUUAUCACCUUUUGAAUAUUCUCCUUUAAUGGGCUCUUGCCCCUAAUUACCCAACUUUGUCAACAAAGAACACGCCAGGCAGGCCAGAGCAUCUCGUGUCCUCCUCACAUACAUGUCUUUCAUUCCCACAGGCUCUCGCUCUUUAUCUCUCAGUGUCAAUAAGCAGCAUUUCUCAUGCUGUUGUUAAGAUUAAUUCAGACGCUGUCUGGAGGCCGUAGACUAUUUGUGCGUGUAGGGAACACUGGGUGUCUCGGCACAAAUUUGGUUGUAUUUCAUUUCAGAUGAAUGAAUCUCGGUUUAGAUUUUGUAUAAAUGCUCUCAUCUAGGGCUGGACGGUGUAUUGAAUAUUCACAGUAAAUUUGCAAUGAUUUUGGUGGUGAUACAAAGUUUUUUAUUUGGCCGUUAAAUUUCCAAGAGGCCGUGUGAUUAGAGUAGUUUCAUAAGACAAUUGUGGAAGGACUAUGUUUUAAUGUUGCCACUGAUUUAAAUGCAACAUGAAAUUAAAAUGGACCCUAUUUAAUUAUUUAUUUUUAAUGUUUCUGUUCUUAAUGUGCAUGAUUCUUCUGCCCUAGUGUUAAAGGAAAACAAAUGUUUGUCUUUGUAAGCUUUUAUUAAAAUGCACCUUUAUGGCUGACGUCAUCUCUUAUUUUUCCAUUCCUGCAUCCAUCCUAAUCGCGUUUUUCCCUUGGAAUUGGGCUACUUUAACACUGUUGCCAUGGUUUUUCAUGUCCACGGUUUGAAUUGAGUCCAAAUAACAUGAUAUCUAGCACCUGGAUUGCGAAUUUUACCAGGGGAA